RNAcentral lists this small nuclear RNA (22 nucleotides) under Arabidopsis thaliana (thale cress). Its description in RNAcentral is "snRNA_12727". The record is from RNAcentral. Lineage: Eukaryota; Viridiplantae; Streptophyta; Magnoliopsida; Brassicales; Brassicaceae.
GCACACGGUAUUCUUUAGUAAA